Molecule: long non-coding RNA, 961 nt
Organism: Homo sapiens (human)
Lineage: Eukaryota; Metazoa; Chordata; Mammalia; Primates; Hominidae
Gene: PLCXD2-AS1
Product: PLCXD2 antisense RNA 1
Exons: 2
Source: RefSeq, marked validated
AUGAUGGCCCCCAUUUCCCAAAUGCCUACUAUAUUUCAGGAUUUCUCAGCAAGGACUGGUAGAACUUGACUUGACUGCCAGCUUUUAUCUGGACCGGACUUCACAAAGCAGGGUGAAAGAAUUUGCAUGAUCUCCAUGGUGGCUAAUCAUAUAAUUUCCAGUUUCAGCAGCUGGCACCAGCUAUUUGCUCCCCCGCUACCCAAGCAAUUCUAGUAACUGUGAGAUAUCCUAUGAAUCACAGAACAAAUGCCCAACUCCUUUCUACAGUCACGGGGUCAGAGUACACAGCCAACCCACUAGCAGAGCUGGAGUUAUGGUUUGAGCCAAAGUACAACAAGGAAGGAGGAAGCCCCAACCUACCCCGGACAUGCCCUGAAUGACACAGCCAUUUAGGGCCUGCCAAAGAUGCCAUUCUGUUUGCAAACACAUAUUACCUGCCAUAUCACUCAACAAAAUAAUUCCAUCAGAAGGCCUGAAGGCAAAUGACUAAUGUUAAAAGUGGCCCAUGCAUCAUUUCAGUGACAACUCCACAGGCGCCAAUUAAACAUGGAAAAGACCUGUUCUGAAGCAUGCCCAUCUGGCAUUUCCCAAGGAACUGUAGUCAAUGGCUGAUAAAACAUACAUGAUCAUAACUAUAAAGAAAUUUCGCAGCCCUCUCCUUGCUCAAAAGCAACCGGGGCCUAUGAGGACAAUGAACCUGGAAGACACCCAAAAGAGGAGGUGAGUAAAGAAAAGCCUGCAUUUGAAGCCACCACUGCUCUUCCUCAUGCACAGAAAGCAAAGAUCGGGAGUUGCAUGAGGUCAGAUUUUCAGCCACCAAAAACAAACAAACAAAAAAACCAACCAAACCUCAAAAAAAACCCAGACGGGUCUAGGGAAUACUUGGGAGUUUGUCUGGUAGUCUGUGGGUGAACUUCAAUUGUUAUGUCUCCGAGUGAAAUAAAGGAUUGGCAGUAGUCCA